Molecule: ribosomal RNA, 468 nt
Filed under: uncultured bacterium
Lineage: Bacteria
Description: partial 16S ribosomal RNA
Rfam family: Bacterial small subunit ribosomal RNA
Source: RNAcentral
GACGAACGCUGGCGGCGUGCUUAACACAUGCAAGUCGAACGGAAAGGCCCUGCUUUUGUGGGGUGCUCGAGUGGCGAACGGGUGAGUAACACGUGAGUAACCUGCCCUUGACUUUGGGAUAACUUCAGGAAACUGGGGCUAAUACCGGAUAGGAGCUCCUGCUGCAUGGUGGGGGUUGGAAAGUUUCGGCGGUUGGGGAUGGACUCGCGGCUUAUCAGCUUGUUGGUGGGGUAGUGGCUUACCAAGGCUUUGACGGGUAGCCGGCCUGAGAGGGUGACCGGCCACAUUGGGGCUGAGAUACGGCCCAGACUCCUAUGGGAGGCAGCAGUGGGGAAUAUUGCACAAUGGGCGGAAGCCUGAUGCAGCAACGCCGCGUGCGGGAUGACGGCCUUCGGGUUGUAAACCGCUUUCGCCUGUGACGAAGCGUGAGUGACGGUAAUGGGUAAAGAAGCACCGGCUAACUACGUG